This 1528-nucleotide ribosomal RNA is filed under the name Klebsiella pneumoniae BIDMC 22. RNAcentral's name for it is "bacterial SSU rRNA". It matches the Rfam family "Bacterial small subunit ribosomal RNA". The record is from RNAcentral. Lineage: Bacteria; Pseudomonadati; Pseudomonadota; Gammaproteobacteria; Enterobacterales; Enterobacteriaceae.
AGAGUUUGAUCAUGGCUCAGAUUGAACGCUGGCGGCAGGCCUAACACAUGCAAGUCGAGCGGUAGCACAGAGAGCUUGCUCUUGGGUGACGAGCGGCGGACGGGUGAGUAAUGUCUGGGAAACUGCCUGAUGGAGGGGGAUAACUACUGGAAACGGUAGCUAAUACCGCAUAACGUCGCAAGACCAAAGUGGGGGACCUUCGGGCCUCAUGCCAUCAGAUGUGCCCAGAUGGGAUUAGCUAGUAGGUGGGGUAACGGCUCACCUAGGCGACGAUCCCUAGCUGGUCUGAGAGGAUGACCAGCCACACUGGAACUGAGACACGGUCCAGACUCCUACGGGAGGCAGCAGUGGGGAAUAUUGCACAAUGGGCGCAAGCCUGAUGCAGCCAUGCCGCGUGUGUGAAGAAGGCCUUCGGGUUGUAAAGCACUUUCAGCGGGGAGGAAGGCGUUAAGGUUAAUAACCUUGGCGAUUGACGUUACCCGCAGAAGAAGCACCGGCUAACUCCGUGCCAGCAGCCGCGGUAAUACGGAGGGUGCAAGCGUUAAUCGGAAUUACUGGGCGUAAAGCGCACGCAGGCGGUCUGUCAAGUCGGAUGUGAAAUCCCCGGGCUCAACCUGGGAACUGCAUUCGAAACUGGCAGGCUAGAGUCUUGUAGAGGGGGGUAGAAUUCCAGGUGUAGCGGUGAAAUGCGUAGAGAUCUGGAGGAAUACCGGUGGCGAAGGCGGCCCCCUGGACAAAGACUGACGCUCAGGUGCGAAAGCGUGGGGAGCAAACAGGAUUAGAUACCCUGGUAGUCCACGCCGUAAACGAUGUCGAUUUGGAGGUUGUGCCCUUGAGGCGUGGCUUCCGGAGCUAACGCGUUAAAUCGACCGCCUGGGGAGUACGGCCGCAAGGUUAAAACUCAAAUGAAUUGACGGGGGCCCGCACAAGCGGUGGAGCAUGUGGUUUAAUUCGAUGCAACGCGAAGAACCUUACCUGGUCUUGACAUCCACAGAACUUUCCAGAGAUGGAUUGGUGCCUUCGGGAACUGUGAGACAGGUGCUGCAUGGCUGUCGUCAGCUCGUGUUGUGAAAUGUUGGGUUAAGUCCCGCAACGAGCGCAACCCUUAUCCUUUGUUGCCAGCGGUUAGGCCGGGAACUCAAAGGAGACUGCCAGUGAUAAACUGGAGGAAGGUGGGGAUGACGUCAAGUCAUCAUGGCCCUUACGACCAGGGCUACACACGUGCUACAAUGGCAUAUACAAAGAGAAGCGACCUCGCGAGAGCAAGCGGACCUCAUAAAGUAUGUCGUAGUCCGGAUUGGAGUCUGCAACUCGACUCCAUGAAGUCGGAAUCGCUAGUAAUCGUAGAUCAGAAUGCUACGGUGAAUACGUUCCCGGGCCUUGUACACACCGCCCGUCACACCAUGGGAGUGGGUUGCAAAAGAAGUAGGUAGCUUAACCUUCGGGAGGGCGCUUACCACUUUGUGAUUCAUGACUGGGGUGAAGUCGUAACAAGGUAACCGUAGGGGAACCUGCGGUUGGAUCACCU